GGAGAGAGGGAUAGCAGAGAAAGGGAGUUGAGAGGAGAGAGAGGGAGGAGGACAUAAAGAGAAGGAACGAGGCAGUCGGCUGAUUCACCAUCCAACCUUUUUCUUUCUCCUCCUCUUCUUCAUUGAAACGGAGGUGGAGGUGUGUCCACCCCCACACACACACACACACACAGACCGAUGCUCAUCACAGCCUCCACCAGGCUCUAUGCCUUCAUCUCCUAUUGUCAUUACUCCAUCUACCUCUGUCUCAUUCUUUCUCGUUCCAUCCAUCCCUCGUUAUUUCCCUGCAGCCCCCACGCUCUUCUAUCCCACAUGCUCUGUGUCACCACCGUGGAGAGGAAAAUGAUCGGCCAACAAGCUGGAAGAAGUAGAGAGGAACGAGAGAGGAGAAAGAGAGCAGGAGCGAACUGUGUCCGUUCCAUCCGGACUUUCCUGCAUCCCGUAUGGAUUAUCUCCACGGACGGACAGAGGGAGCAGUGGAGGAGUGAGGAAAAAGACCAAGAAAGAAGAAAGGAACAGCCAGCCUGCCUGAGGGCACUGUCUUUCGGCUGUGUUUGGGACUCUGGCUAAUUAUGGAGUAUUCUCAGGACUCCAGCGGAGAAGAGAGAGACGCGCUCUCUCUGGCUUUUCAUUCUAAUUAAUUCCCCUCCGUGCAAACACUCAAAGACCCUUUUUCUCCUUCCUUCUCUCCCUCCCUCCACUCUCCUUCUCUUCAUCCUUUUGAGAGCAAAAUAAUUGGUCGUGGAGAUUGGCUUUUCUGUGUCGGAGCCAGAAGAGUGAGAUCUCCCAAUCCUUUACACCUGGAGCUUGUGUGAGUGUGCAUGUGUGGAUGUGUGUGUUUGCGUGUGUUUGUGUAUGAGGAAUUUCUGAGUUGUCCCUCAGGUGUUUGGGAGGGUUAUGUACCACACAAGAUGAUGUCUUGUCAACUGGACUGGCUUGGACAGAAUAGUUUAACAUGAAAGUUACGGUGAGAGGGACAGAAACCAUUCCCAAAAUGGUAGAACAAAGUAGAAAGAAAAAUAUGUGAAGGAAGAAAAAAAAUCCCGUUUUGACCUGAAGCCUAACCAGUCCUGUGGAUGGACACAAACACGAGCGAUAAGAGGUGAGAAGAGAACACACUGGGUCCCUUCACAACCGCAGAACAACACACUGACUGACAAAUGCAAAAGAUUGAUGAGGGAAUGGACCUAAAAACAUGCAAGCUUCUGGAACAUGUCAGCCACUCGAUUCUCUUCGCUUUCCUGUUUCUCUCUUAGGACAGAGCACCAAUUACAAAAAUACAAAUACACAAAGGUUGAACGGUAGAAACUUGGCUUUAUCUGGAACCCGUUCUCAGAAUUUAAAAAAAGUCUGCCUCCUCUUUUUUCUCUCCCUCCCAUUUCUCCUCUCCUCCAUCAAUCCUACCCCCCCCCACACACUCUCUCUCCCCUUUCCCAUCUUUCUCAUCUGUCUUAUAUCUCUCCUGUCCAUCCCCCUCUCUUUUCCUCUCCAUUUCUCCUUUUCUCUUUCUUUUUUCCCCCUCUGGCUUGCUCCCUCUGUUACACCUCCUUGCCUCCUCGCCCCACUCCUGACACCUCCCUCUCGCCCAGUCUCAUUUUUCACACACAGCCCAGUCUGUUAGUUUGUGUGUGUGAAAGGGAACAAAUCCAUUCUGCAGUGAAGGCGCGGAGCAAAGGGAAGCCUGAGGUACACCACGUGUCUCCGUCAGACCAUGCCCCAGUUCACAUUUGCCUGUUUCUGUAGUCUGAAUGGUUUCUGCCGGCGACGACGGAAGAAAAAGCUGAAAAGCUUGGAACAGGCGGAGAUGGAGGAGAAACUGAAAGAUCAGGAGACAGAGGUGUGAAGAAGCCUGGAUGGAGGUUCUCCUCUGAUAGACUGUCCGCUGUGGUUCUAAGCCCUUACUGUGGACCUCAGGCAGGUUCACUCCUUACGUGGUCCAGAUGGGGCAUGAAGUCACCAAACACACACAGUACCACUCAUUAACAUAAUCAUUAUUUCUUAUUAAACUAUUUCACUCACAUGUAAGUCAAUACAGUUCAGUAGGUUGCAGAUUAUUAAUUCUGAAAUGGAGACAAUGUUGACCUACGCCCAAAUCUGUCUCCGCUAUCCAAAGCAGCUUCACUGGAAUGUGUAGGUAAAAGUUCAAAAGCAAUGUCUCCUCCAAGGAGACGGCCACCACACAAGCACAAAACACUUACAUAAACAUACACACUUGCACAUACACACACACAUAUACACACACACGUGCACACACACGUUGAUUAAAUACACUGUAUACAGUU
Molecule: long non-coding RNA, 2282 nt
Organism: Esox lucius (northern pike)
Lineage: Eukaryota; Metazoa; Chordata; Actinopteri; Esociformes; Esocidae
Exons: 3
Source: RefSeq, a predicted model, not a curated record